RNAcentral lists this ribosomal RNA (465 nucleotides) under uncultured bacterium. RNAcentral describes it as "partial 16S ribosomal RNA". It matches the Rfam family "Bacterial small subunit ribosomal RNA", at positions 338 to 795 of the family's 1533-position model. The record is from RNAcentral.
CCUACGGGAGGCAGCAGUAGGGAAUCUUCCACAAUGGGCGAAAGCCUGAUGGAGCAACGCCGCGUGGGUGAAGAAGGUCUUCGGAUCGUAAAACUCUGUUAUUAGAGAAGAAAGUGCGUGAGAGUAACUGUUCACGUUUCGACGGUAUCUAACCAGAAAGCCACGGCUAACUACGUGCCAGCAGCCGCGGUAAUACGUAGGUGGCAAGCGUUAUCCGGAAUUAUUGGGCGUAAAGCGAGCGAAGGCGGUCUUUUAAGUCUGAUGUGAAAGCCUUCGGCUCAACCGUGGGAGGGCAUUGGAAACUGGAAGACUUGAGUGCAGAAGAGGAGAGUGGAACUCCAUGUGUAGCGGUGAAAUGCGCAGAGAUAUGGAAGAACACCAGUGGCGAAGGCGACUCUCUGGUCUGUAACUGACGCUGAUGUUCGAAAGCGUGGGUAGCAAACAGGAUUAGAUACCCUAGUAGUC